GUAGACUAACAGGUGUAGACUAACAGGUGUAGACUAACAGUGAAAUGCUUGGUAAACAACAGGUGUAGACUAACAGGUGUAGACUAACAGGUGUAGACUAACAGGUGUAGACUAACAGGUGUAGACUAACAGGUGUAGACUAACAGUGAAAUGCUUGGUAAACAACAGGUGUAGACUAACAGGUGUAGACUAACAGUGAAAUGCUUGGUAAACAACAGGUGUAGACUAACAGUGAAAUGCUGACUGACAGGCCUUACUUCCUAACAAUGCAGAGAGAACAAAAAAAAAAAAAAAAUUAAAAACACAAGGAAUAAAUACAAAAUGAUUAACGAUAACUUGGUUAUAUACUGUACAGUACACAGGAUACCAGUACUGAGUCGAUGUGCUGGGGUACGAGGUUGAGGUAGAAAUGUACAUAUGGGGAGGGG
Long non-coding RNA from Oncorhynchus tshawytscha (Chinook salmon), 428 nucleotides. The record is from Ensembl. NCBI's taxonomy places the organism in Eukaryota, Metazoa, Chordata, Actinopteri, Salmoniformes, Salmonidae.